CUCCACAGGCUGGCACUCUGAGCUUUACCCUGGAACAUCCCACAGAUCACAGGGAAGUUGUUAGAAGGAAGAAGGUGUUUCCAAGGAACAAAAGGCACUUGUAGAGCGAAUACUAUCAGAGGUUGAUGCUGCUGCACCUGUCCUUUGGUAUCCAUGACCCAUUUCCCCCAUGUCCAAAGACCCUGCCAAGUCACCAUGCCAAUUCUCGGCACUUUCAAAAGUGAAGACCAAGAAGAAAUGUGUUCUGAGGAUUCCCAAAAUCCUGCAGCUAAGAGAAAAGUGAAAGGGAAUUAUUACUGCUUCUAUUUAUUUAUUUGUCUUGAAAUGCUGCCCAGAAUGUCACAGCACACGAUGGGAUGCAGGAUCUCUGCAGAGAAUAAUUCAGUCGAAAUAAAAGACCAGCCCCACUGGGUGCUCACACUUUGCCAGCCACUUCUCAGAUGUUAUCAACCCAGAUG
This is a long non-coding RNA of Passer domesticus (house sparrow), 458 nucleotides long. RefSeq lists it as uncharacterized. The transcript is spliced from 3 exons. The record is from RefSeq and is a predicted model, not a curated record. Lineage: Eukaryota; Metazoa; Chordata; Aves; Passeriformes; Passeridae.